AAGACCCCCGAACCAGACCGCCUCCCCCCUGCAAGAGGAGAGACCCCUUCCGCCACGGCUUGAUUGCCGGUGGCUUUCCUUUCUUCCUUCCCCUGCGCAGCUGCUCUCACACGCAGAUGCUGCUCUUCCUUCCGUCCCCGGACACGCAGGCAAGGCAAAGGCACCCACCACCAAAUAGGAAGGGGAGUUACUCCACCACCACCAGCAGCCUAGCCUAGCCUAGCACAGCACAGCACAGCACAGCACAGCAGUGGGAGGGGGAGGCACCAGGGCAGGGCAGGUCCGGAGAUGGAUGGAGACUUGUUGCAGCGCAGCCCACUGCAAAGCUCCAAAUUACAACACGGAGCCCAACCACCACUUAUACGCCACCGCCACCACCACCAGCAUCGCCACCACUUUCCCCUCCCCGAUCUCCUCCCCAAACCCUAACCCCUCCCCUCGGAUCCGCGCAUGGAGGCGUGACGGGCCGGGGGGAUGGACGCCGUGCCGGAGGACCUCCGCUGCAAGCGCUCCGACGGCAAGCAGUGGCGCUGCAGCGCCCCUUCCAUGCCCGACAAGACCGUCUGCGAGAAGCACUACGUCCAGGCCAAGAAGCGCGCCGCCUCCUCCGCGCUACGCGCUACGCUCCGCAGGUCCUCCCCCUCCUACGCCGCCGCCUCCUACGCGCCGCCCCGUGAGGGCGACGCCGACGCCGACCUGCCCCUGCCAAUGGCUGUCGCGAGGCCCUUCUACGGCAGUGUCGUCGGGGAGCCUGUCUACGUGGCGGAGCCGGCGGUGCGGAGGGGGCUGCCCCUCAUCAAUGCUAUCGGCUCGCGCACCGCAGCGGAGCUAGUCGGGAGAGCCUCUGUAGGGCUGCAAGGCUGUGCCGAGGUGAAGACGAGUUGCCACCAAUGCCGGAGGAGUGUCAAUGCCGUUUGGUGUACCAGCUGUGACAGGAGGGGGUAUUGCGGCGGCUGCAUCUCCAGAUGGUACUCUGACAUUGCAAUAGAUGAUAUUCAAAAGGUUUGUCCAGCAUGCCGUGGCAUUUGUAACUGCAAAGUUUGCUUACAAGGAGACAACGUAAUUAAGGCAAGGGUGCAGGAGAUAUCUGUUGUAGAUAAGUUGAAAUAUCUUCAUAGCAUUUUGGCAUAUGUUCUUCCAGUGCUAAAGCAGAUUUACUCCGACCAAUGCUUUGAAAUAGGUGUUGAAACAAGAGCUUAUGGGCCCAAGAUGGACAUCAUUAGGGCAAAGAUGAAUUCUGAUGAGCAAAUGUGCUGUGACUUUUGCAAAGUGCCAGUGUUUGAUUAUCAUCGACACUGUCCAAGAUGUUUGUAUGACUUAUGCCUUGACUGUUGUCGAGAUAUUAGGCGCUCUCAGACAAAUGUAGUCAGAGGAGAAUAUGCUGAAAGUAAAGGUCCUGUGGUGGAGACAAAUAAAAAUAGUGCGAGUGACAGAGCAAGAUUGGAACCAUCUGCAGCAAGUGUCAACGAUAAGUUGUUCCCAGAGCCGAUAGAUGCAAAUGAUAUUGGCAUCAGAUCUUUGUUUCCUACAUGGAGAGCCAACAAUGAUGGCAGCAUCACUUGUGGGCCUCAUGAGGCUGGUGGUUGUGGCUCCUCAAAGCUGGUAUUAAGGCGAAUAUUCAAAAUAAACUGGAUUGGUAAGCUUGUAAAGAGUUCUCAAGAAAUGGUUAAUGGUUGCAAAGCACAUGAUCUUGAGAAUGGAUGCUCAUCCUGUCACGAUAGCAGAAGAUUGGACUCAAUUGGUCGCCAUAACUUUGGUCUCUCAAAAUGUUCAGAUAGUGAUGGUAUUGAUGGGAACUCUGUGUACUCUUCUGUACUGGAGAACUUAAAAUACGAGGGUAUUGUCCAUUUCCGUAAACACUGGAUAAAUGGGGAGCCUGUAAUUAUUAGGAAUGCAUUUGAGCCUUCUUUAUCAUCAAGUUGGGACCCGUUAAGUAUUUGGCGAGGAAUCCAGGAGAUCAUGGAUGAAAAAAUGGAUGAAAAUGCGAUAGUUAAAGCUGUGGACUGCUCAAACCAAUCAGAGGUGCAUAUCAAGCUCAACCAAUUUAUCAAAGGUUAUUCAGAUGGUCACAAGGGAGAAGAUGGCAAGUUAAUUAUGCUGAAACUGAAAGAUUGGCCUCCAGUGAGCGUAUUAGAGGAGUUUCUGUUAUGCCAGCGACCAGAGUUCAUUGUCAAUUUUCCCUUAGUAGACUUUAUCCAUUCUAAGUGGGGCUUUCUUAACCUUGCGGCUAAGUUACCCCCAGAUGCCCUACAGUCUGAAGUAGGCCUAAAGCUGCUUAUUGCAUAUGGAAGGCAGCAACAACCUGGUAAAAGCGAUUCAGUGACAAAUCUGAUGGUUAAGAUGGGUGAUGUGGUACACAUGUUAAUGCAUAGAGCUGAAAUGCGUUACCUAUGUCCAAAGAGUCUACAACCUGAGCAGCCGGAAAGGAUUGCCAAUGGGAUGGCAGUGCAUGUAAAUGCUCAUGCACCUGUGCAAAACUUGAAUCUGGAUAUGGGGGAACAAUCACCUGAACACACAGUUUCUAAGUCUUGCGGCCCUUCUGCAGGCUCUUCUGCUGAGCUAUCAAGUUCAUCACAUUCAGAGCAAGCAAAAACUAAUGGUGUAGAAAGAUCUCAGCCUGGUGCUCUUUGGGAUGUCUUCCGCAGGCAGGAUGUGCCGAUGCUGAAUAAAUAUUUAGCUUCUAACUGGGAGGAACUUACAAAUAACAGUCAGGCGAUGCUCUCUGUGAAGCAUCCUAUUUAUGAUCAAGCUGUAUAUCUCAGGGAGCACCAUAAAAGGGUAUUAAAGGAUCAAUAUGCUCUUCCGCCUCUCGAGUUCUCUCUGCCGGCGCCAAUGAAGAUGAACUUGUAGAGGAGGUCCCAUGGUAGGUCCUGGGUGGGCGUGAACUAGCCACGGCCGGCACUGUGGAGACGAGCGAUAGGUGGCCCUCGUAGAGGAAGCCCGAGGGCCUGCACGGUGACAGCGGCGUCCCUGAACCGUGUGUAGCCAAGCGCGCCGCAGCGGCUGGGGAGCUGGAACGGCGCUGGCGAAUGCUUCAGCAGCCCUGCCAGUCACCGCCGCUGCUGAUGCCCUGCCUGCCCUGUGCUGCUCUUGCUCGCCGCCGCGGCCACCUACUGGUUCUACAACAGGUACUGCUGGUUGCUGCUGCUGCACGUAGUGCUGCUGCUGCUCGCACCUCUUGGCUCCACAGUGGUCAGCCGGGUAUACUCUUGUGUUCUGAACGACAGCUGAUGCAACACAUAGUCCUUUCGCUUGGAGAGCAGGAUAAAUCACUGAUGUGUAUUAGCGUCACAAAAUCCUGUGUUUGCUUCCAUGGAAGAAUCGAUCAGCUGCUUGCAUGCUUGCCAUGCUGCCAUGGAAUAAUCAAUCUAGCACUUCUUCUGUGGAUUGCUCACCGGCGACGGAUAGAGCCAGAGGCAUCAUAUCUUGGUCUGACGGGGGGACUGUGAUGCUGAGAUGUGGACCUGCAUGGCUCCUGGUCGUGUUGGCCAGCGUGACCAUGGCCGCCAACUCCGGAUCCGCUCCCCGUGGCAAGUCACAAGAGAGAUGGGGAAUGAACAAACAGGAAGAGCUUGUCUGUUGGCUUGGUCGAUCGAGGACAUGGGCAAUUUGGGGAUUUCAUGCGGGCCCCACCUGUAAGAGGCAAAUCCUCGAAGUCCCAAGUAAAAAGUGCAAAAUAUCAAUUGCAAAGUAGGCAGAGGCAAAUUGUCGAAGGCCCAAGUAAGCAGUGGCAAGAGAUCACAUCCCCCCCUUUUGGCGAAUUGUCGAAGUCCCACGAAUUGAACCUCGGACAUUUGAACAACAUAUUGGCGAGGCUGUUUUUAUUCCAGCUGGCUGUCCUUACCAAGUAAAAAAUCUCCAGUCUACGGUUCAGUUGGCUCUGGAUUUUUUGUCGCCUGAGAGUUUGCGGGAGUCGGCUCGUAUGGCCCAAGAGAUACGCUGCCUGCCAAAUCAUCAUGAUGCAAAACUGAAGAUGCUUGAGGUUGGAAAAAUAGCUUUAUAUGCAGCAAGUUCCGCUGUCAAAGAAAUUCA
Molecule: RNA transcript, 4032 nt
Organism: Triticum urartu
Lineage: Eukaryota; Viridiplantae; Streptophyta; Magnoliopsida; Poales; Poaceae
Gene name: JmjC domain protein JMJ24
Source: RefSeq, a predicted model, not a curated record